UAUAUUGUUUAAUAAGUAGGCAGUAGUAAUGGGCGAUAGAAAUAUAUGCAAUAUAGAGGAUACAAAAUUGACC
Molecule: long non-coding RNA, 73 nt
Organism: Etheostoma cragini (Arkansas darter)
Lineage: Eukaryota; Metazoa; Chordata; Actinopteri; Perciformes; Percidae
Exons: 3
Source: RefSeq, a predicted model, not a curated record